UACGUAGGUCCCGAGCGUUGUCCGGAUUUAUUGGGCGUAAAGCGAGCGCAGGUGGUUUAUUAAGUCUGGUGUAAAAGGCAGUGGCUCAACCAUUGUAUGCAUUGGGAACUGGUAGACUUGAGUGCAGGAGAGGAGAGUGGAAUUCCAUGUGUAGCGGUGAAAUGCGUAGAUAUAUGGAGGAACACCGGUGGCGAAAGCGACUCUCUGGCCUGUAACUGACACUGAGGCUCGAAAGCGUGGGGAGCAAACAGG
Molecule: ribosomal RNA, 252 nt
Filed under: uncultured bacterium
Lineage: Bacteria
Description: partial 16S ribosomal RNA
Rfam family: Bacterial small subunit ribosomal RNA
Source: RNAcentral